This is a long non-coding RNA of Brassica napus (rape), 2817 nucleotides long. RefSeq lists it as uncharacterized. The transcript has 3 exons. The record is from RefSeq and is a predicted model, not a curated record. NCBI's taxonomy places the organism in Eukaryota, Viridiplantae, Streptophyta, Magnoliopsida, Brassicales, Brassicaceae.
UAUUAAAAUAGAAGGAGUAUACCAUCAGUACUAUAUUAAAAUAGAAUGAGUAUAUAUCACCCAAUCAAGAUAUUUAAAAAGUAAUUUCUCUAACAUUUAGUAGAUUUUAGAAAUAUGUAUGAUAUUUUACUGUAUUGGUUAUGGAAAUUAAUUAUUUUGAUCUUAUUCACAUGAUAGUUUUCAGAUAUGUGUCCUAGAAAGAGUUUCUUUCUAUGUUUCUCUAAUCAAUAUAAACGCUCUAUCCCAUUUUUCAGUAUCAAAACAUUUGUAACAAUCAAAUAAUCAUUGUGUUAACAUAAUCCUCUAAUUUUUUCACACGUCAUGGCAAAAAUGUUCAUCUAUAUAUAAAACAUUUCAACUAAUCAUUUUCAGAUAAUAUAUGCUCUUUCAUUUUUAUAAUAAUAUAUACUUACUUAGAACUCUUGCUUUGUUCCUAAAGUAUAUAUUUAAAUAAGGUCGACGAUCUAUUUCUCCACGAGAACUAUGAUAUAGCAUCAGAUGUCUCCCGAACUAUAAUCUCGUUCUAUAUAUCUCUGGAGAAAAGUUUAAAAUCUAUUUCCCCACAAAUCUUGUUUUUUUAGAAAACCAGUAAAAAAAACCAUUAAAACCCAUUAAGCCUGAAAAUUGAACCGAAAAACGGCUCAAACUAAAUAUUUGAUCUAACAUAAUACAGAUUCGUAAACACCCACUUAAACCGAUAUUAAACCAAAUCAAACUGAAUCACUACGGCUUAAGUCCUCUUCAAUGUUUUCUGUCACCGGCAAAAUCAUUCACAUCACCGAGAAUUCUCUAUUUUAAUAUUUGUUAUUUCACUUGGGUCUGGAACAAUGAUGCGUAAUCAAAGCUUACAUGGAGUUGUCUACAUCACGAGAAUCAAGAAAUCAAUGGGAAACUGAGAGAUGUGGGAGAUAUGAGAGACUGAUUUAAAUCAGAUUAAUUAGAAAAAUUAGGAGAGGUGAGAGACUUAAGCUUUAUCUGUAUACUUGAAUGGAGAGGGAAGCUUUUAAGGGUCAAUGUAAACGGCGAUUCGGUUAAGGAAUGAGCUAUAUACGGCGUUGUGGGAAUGAAGGUCAGAAGUAAUAGCUGAAUGAGAACUUUAAUCUGUGGAUGAGCACAAGAGAACAAAAAGGACAGCUAAAGAAGAAGAAGAAUGGAUGGGAGUAUGCUAGAGAUGUUUGGUGUGUUUCUGAAGAAAACUCAUAAGUAAUAGCUGAAGUAAUAAGAAAGAGAUGAUGAUAUGUUUUCAAUUUGGGGAUUUUUAGUUUUAGGGUUCUUUAUAGAUGAAGAAUUAUAAAUUUUAGGGAUUUAAUUUGGUCUGGAUAUUAAACCGGCGAUUCUGGUUUUGUUAAAUGUAUUUUGAUUUUAAUUGGGUUUUGAUUCGGUUUAGUUUCAACUUUACAUGGUGUCGGUUUGAUUUCUAAUCAGUAAACAAUUUUAAUUAUGAUCUAUGGGUUUUCAGAUUUCAAACUUUAAUUUUAUGGAGAAAUGAGUGUUAAAAUUUUAAUUUGUGGUAAAAAUAGAUCUUAAACUUUGUUUUCGGGAAUAUAUAGAAUGAUGUCAUAGUUCGGGAGAUAUCUGAUGUUAUAUCAUCGUUUUGUGGAGAAAUAGAUUGUCGACCUAGAAUAUAAUGUUAAACUAGAUCUGAAAUCAUUAUCGUCACGUUCUAAAAAAUCUAUAUAUAUAAAGAAGAGUUUCCUUCACUCCUAUAUAUAUAAAAAAUCUAUAUAUAUAAAGAAGGGUUUUCUUCACUCCUAGACUAUCCACAUAGGAUGCCACGUCACAAAUUUGUUAAUCCACAGCGCGACACGUGUCCUCUACAUCAAAUUCGGCGUUUCAUUAAAGUGAUGUGUAUAUAAUUAUUGGGCUACGUUGUGUGUAUGGGCUCAAAAUAUUACUUAAACCUGACAGUCCUAUAACGCGAAACUUUUAUCUUCCUCUUAUGCGUCCUAUCGAAUUUUAUGGUUCUUCGUACUCUUUGAUAUCCGACAACGACGAUCUUCUAACAUGUUCUCCAACAUCAACAAUGGAGAUCCGAAAGAUUGAGAUGCUUAAAUCAACGUGAAGAAUCUCUCAGUAAGGCUUCAUAGCGUCGUUUGAUAUUCCUUUCAUAUCAACCGAAACAUUCUGAGUUUCGGAUUCAACGUCUUUAUCGCCUUCUCAACUCCAUCAACCCCUUUCUAGCAUUCAAUGCAAAGUUUCUUCUCUGCAAGGCGGUCUAUCUGCGACUAUAAAAAGGUUAGCGUUCCUCUCUUGAAAACCAUCCUCUCAAUCUGUGAAAAUAACAAAGUAAACUUUUUCCCAGAGAUGACUAACUCUUCUGUUCUGCUUUCUGAUUUGAUUCCCUACUCCAAAUAUUAUAUUCUAAAAUCUUUCAGUCGAACUUUGUUAUUUCAUGGGUUGUUAGAGCAUGUGAUAUUGAUUUUUUCAUAGCAUUGUGUUGUCUACAGUUUUGUGCAGUUUCUCUGAAUACGUAAGCAAAUUACUAGAGAUUGAUGCAGUUUUGGUCCAGCAUGAGACCCAAUUAAGGAAAUUACAGAAUCAUUGAGGCAGCAUGGAAUCUGUUGUACAAGGAAAAACUAAAAGACAAGGCUGUGGGAGGAAGGGAUCCUUCAGGAGGAGAGAUUGUUGAGAAAGGCCGCAGAGAGGGCGCAAAAGAGGAUGAUGAAAUAACUGAGAAUCGCCCGCAUCUUGACCUGCUAUGAAACAUGGUUAGAAUGCUGAAGGUAGAAACAAACUUGCGGGUUUAGUGUCUGUUCUUUUAUGUGUGUUGACCAAGCUUAUACUCAUGAAUUAGAGAUGAUGUUUUCAAGCGUAUAA